UAGGGAAUCUUCCGCAAUGGGCGAAAGCCUGACGGAGCAACGCCGCGUGAGUGAUGAAGGUCUUCGGAUCGUAAAACUCUGUUAUUAGGGAAGAACAAAUGUGUAAGUAACUAUGCACGUCUUGACGGUACCUAAUCAGAAAGCCACGGCUAACUACGUGCCAGCAGCCGCGGUAAUACGUAGGUGGCAAGCGUUAUCCGGAAUUAUUGGGCGUAAAGCGCGCGUAGGCGGUUUUUUAAGUCUGAUGUGAAAGCCCACGGCUCAACCGUGGAAGGUCAUUGGAAACUGGAAAACUUGAGUGCAGAAGAGGAAAGUGGAAUUCCAUGUGUAGCGGUGAAAUGCGCAGAGAUAUGGAGGAACACCAGUGGCGAAGGCGACUUUCUGGUCUGUAACUGACGCUGACGUGCGAAAGCGUGGGGAUCAAACAGG
This 429-nucleotide ribosomal RNA is filed under the name Actinomycetes bacterium. Its description in RNAcentral is "Actinobacteria bacterium partial 16S ribosomal RNA". It matches the Rfam family "Bacterial small subunit ribosomal RNA", at positions 355 to 776 of the family's 1533-position model. The record is from RNAcentral. Lineage: Bacteria; Bacillati; Actinomycetota; Actinomycetes.